Molecule: ribosomal RNA, 253 nt
Filed under: uncultured bacterium
Lineage: Bacteria
Description: partial 16S ribosomal RNA
Rfam family: Bacterial small subunit ribosomal RNA
Source: RNAcentral
UACGGAGGAUCCGAGCGUUAUCCGGAUUUAUUGGGUUUAAAGGGAGCGUAGGCGGGUUGUUAAGUCAGUUGUGAAAGUUUGCGGCUCAACCGUAAAAUUGCAGUUGAUACUGGCAUCCUUGAGUACAGUAGAGGUAGGCGGAAUUCGUGGUGUAGCGGUGAAAUGCUUAGAUAUCACGCAGAACCCCGAUUGCGAAGGCAGCCUUCCGGCGCCCUACUGACGCUGAGGCACGAAAGUGCGGGGAUCGAACAGG